This 336-nucleotide unclassified non-coding RNA is filed under the name soil metagenome. RNAcentral's name for it is "partial contains 5.8S ribosomal RNA, internal transcribed spacer 2, and large subunit ribosomal RNA". The stretch from base 1 to 120 matches the Rfam family "5.8S ribosomal RNA", at positions 35 to 154 of the family's 154-position model. The record is from RNAcentral.
GAUGAAGAACGUAGCGAAAUGCGAUAAGUAGUGUGAAUUGCAGAAUUCAGUGAAUCAUCGAAUCUUUGAACGCACAUUGCGCCCCUUGGUAUUCCAUGGGGCAUGCCUGUUCGAGCGUCAUUUGUACCUUCAAGCUUUGCUUGGUGUUGGGUGUUUGUCUCGCCUUUGCGUGUAGACUCGCCUUAAAAUAAUUGGCAGCCGGCGUAUUGAUUUCGGAGCGUAGUACAUCUCGCGCUUUGCACUCAUAACGACAGCGUCCAAAAGUACAUUUUACACUCUUGACCUCGGAUCAGGUAGGGAUACCCGCUGAACUUAAGCAUAUCAAUAAGCGGAGGA